AGGGGCGUGUGUGCACGCUGCUGGGCAGGACUGAGCAGGGCCCGGCGCAGCUGCACUCGGUCUCUUCUUCUUGUGUGCAUCGCCCGGAGAACAUCACCCCCCUGGACAACGAGCAUUUAAACCUGGCUGAUUACCUUUCACGGACGCGUACGCAUUGCUGAAAGGAAAAAUCACGUCACGAGAAGAGAUCCAUCGUUAUCGGAGCAGGAUAAAAGUCUAGUCUGGUAGGGAGAAAGGCGUUCCGGAAGUUAAAGGACCUUCUACAAGCAGCAAGGACAAAGGUUAGCACUGAUUGAAUGAUGACAUCUCAACCAAAAAACACACAUUAGAGAAAGAGAAGAGAGAAAAAGGAGGAAAGAAAGAAGACAGAGAAGCCGACAUUGCAAGCCAAUAAAAUACAAAUGCUGUAUCAAUAAAUUUAUCUUGUUAUCA
Xenopus laevis (African clawed frog) is the source of this 432-nucleotide long non-coding RNA. RefSeq lists it as uncharacterized. Lineage: Eukaryota; Metazoa; Chordata; Amphibia; Anura; Pipidae. The transcript has 3 exons. The record is from RefSeq and is a predicted model, not a curated record.